Molecule: small RNA, 28 nt
Filed under: Bombyx mori (domestic silkworm)
Lineage: Eukaryota; Metazoa; Arthropoda; Insecta; Lepidoptera; Bombycidae
Description: ovarian small RNA-14924
Source: RNAcentral
CUGCUUGUUUACGUACCCGCUGAGGUGG